GACGAACGCUGGCGGCGUGCUUAACACAUGCAAGUCGAACGGAAAGGCGCUGCUUUUGUGGGGUGCUCGAGUGGCGAACGGGUGAGUAACACGCGAGUAACCUGCCCCUGUCUUUGGGAUAACUUCAGGAAACUGGGGCUAAUACCGGAUAGGAGCUCCUGCUGCAUGGUGGGGGUUGGAAAGUUUCGGCGGUUUGGGAUGGACUGGCGGCUUAUCAGCUUGUUGGUGGGGUAGUGGCUUACCAAGGCUUUGACGGGUAGCCGGCCUGGGAGGGUGACCGGCCACCUGGGGCCUGCGGUACGGCCCAGUCUGCUACGUGCGGCAACAGUCGGGAGUCUUGCACAGUGGGCGGAAGCCUGAUGUGACAACGCCGCGUGCGGGAUGACGGCCUUCUGGUUGUAAACCGCUUUCGCCGUUGCCGAAGCGUGAGUGACGGUAAUGAGUAAAGAAGCCCCGGCUAACUACGUG
RNAcentral lists this ribosomal RNA (468 nucleotides) under uncultured bacterium. RNAcentral's name for it is "partial 16S ribosomal RNA". It matches the Rfam family "Bacterial small subunit ribosomal RNA", at positions 28 to 507 of the family's 1533-position model. The record is from RNAcentral.